GGUAAUUAUUUUACCUGAGUAGUAUUAGUUAUGGUCUUUAAACUUAAAGAAUUUGGCGGUAUUUUAGUCUUAUUAGAGGAAUCUGUUUUUUAAUCGAUAAUCCGCGUUGGACCUUACUUAAUUUUUUUUGUAUACCUCCGUUAUAAUGAGUAUCCUUUAAGGGUUUAUAAUUCUCUUAAUUUUUUUUUAUAAAUUAUUUCAGGUCAAGGUGCAGAUUAUAAUUAAGUUUAUAUGGAUUACAAUUAUUUUUAAUUUAUUUGGAUUAAUCAUUGUAAUAUUUUUAUGAAAUUGGAUUUAAUUGUAAAAUUAUGAAUAUUGUUUUUUUGAAUUUGGCUCUAAAAUGUGUACACAUCUGCCGUCG
This 361-nucleotide ribosomal RNA is filed under the name Anaplecta fallax. Its description in RNAcentral is "partial 12S ribosomal RNA". Lineage: Eukaryota; Metazoa; Arthropoda; Insecta; Blattodea; Anaplectidae. The record is from RNAcentral.